RNAcentral lists this long non-coding RNA (6106 nucleotides) under Gallus gallus (chicken). Lineage: Eukaryota; Metazoa; Chordata; Aves; Galliformes; Phasianidae. The record is from RNAcentral.
ACACACAUCAGCUGAAGUUAACUUUGAAGGUUACUCCUUGUUUUUGCUCUGUGUGUUAUAAUGGAAUAAUCAGUAAUAUUACAUCUGCUAUUAGGCAGCAUGUUUGGAAGAUUAGGGAAUGCUUCAGAAAGACAGGCCAGAAGAUAUACAGCAUUCUAGGUUAGUAGACAAGUGGUACACAGCUAUGUAACUAGCUAACUUAACUUAGAUUUCCUACACACAUACUUGAUUUUGUCUCAUCAGUUAAGUAUUUUGGAAAACAAAUACUUAACAUCAAGUAAUAGAAAAUAAGAUUUUUUUUUCCCCCAGAUGUACUUAAAUAGAGGAAAAUGAAGGUAGAUGAUGACUUAAAAGUUUAUUAUUUUUUCAAGACAGCAACUGUUCUGUUAUUUCAGUAUGAAAACUUGCUACACUUAGAAGUCUCUGGAGAGAGAGCCUGUGUGUUUGUCAUUUUUAUCAAAGGCUCUUACAGAGAUUGGUUCUGGGGUAAGCACGCUGUUAGAGGCAGCAUGGUGCACUGCCCGUGGUAGGUAGGUGCCAGCGCUGAGGGCUCAUGGGAAUCUAUCUCACUCACGCUCACACAACAGCCAGUCAGUACAGAUAAUAGCACAGCAACAGUCAUUCUUUUGUAGCUUAGCAGGAUCUAGAUUCCAUUGCACUGGUAGGUACUGGUGGUAGAAAUAAUAUGGAUAAUGGGACAAAGUCCUGUUUAACCUGCAGGUGUUACUCCUCUGCCAUUUUGUUACAUGCUUUAUGUGCAGGGCUGUAACCAAUCCGUUUGAGCUGACGGUAAGUAAGCAAGCUCACUUUACUAUCAAGCCUGAAGUUGCUGUAAAUCAUUCACUGUAUGCCACUCACUUCUCUUUACCAACUGUGGCAUUCAGAACUGGGCUCAGCCCUUACCUUUGGAAUCAGCUUACUCUUUUUACACUCAUGACCUUAAUUUGAUUUUUCUUAGUUUUGAAUUCUUGAUUUCUCACCUUUUACGCUUUUAGGAUCUUAAUUGCAUUUACAUCUUUUAAAGUUGAAGUGAAAGUGUAAGUAAGUGCUGUGCAGUGACAUACACAUACUAGUAAACUGCUUCAGGGCUUGUUUUCAUCUCCCUCCUACUCAGGUUAACAGGAAGCAGCCUUUGAUUCUAAUACAGGUAGUAAAGCACCAGUAGUACUGAUAAAGCCUAAGCUAUGCUUCUUCAAUUAACUGGAAGUUUGUUUUAUGUUCAACGUCUAUUUAAAAAAAACAACAAAAACACACUUUACUUUGUCAAAAGCUAGUCAAGAAGGGCGAGAGGCAGGCUUGCUAUUUUGACUUCAAAACAAAACACUACACCCAUUCAGCUGUCCUCUUCUGACUGAGGGUAGUCAGAUGUGGGUGAUGAAGGAGCUGCACAACCUCUAACAAGCAGAAGCCUACAGCAAGUUGUGAAGCUUCUGCUAUAGCUGCUUUCAAGGGGACGCAUCAUGUUCCCCCAGUUUAAAACCAUCCACCAUGUCGCACAGAGUACAUUAUUCUAUCAGUGUCAAUAACUGUCAGUAUCAGUUCUGGCUGUAGGUAAAAAAAAAAAAGUCAAAUACAGUAGAAACAAACGUUCCAUCCAGUUGCAGUUCAGUAACAGUAAGUGCCUGCUUAUUUUUCAUGCUUCUCCCCUAGAUCAAACUUCACACUCAAAAACCCCACCAUCCCAACAAUUACAGCGUCCUUUGCCACCUUGCUCUUUGUAACACUUGAUCUCUUUGAUUUCAAAAUGCAAUGAAAUGAGGUCAGCUCUGCUAAAAGGAGCACACUGAGGGGCACCCAUUUCAAUUCAGGCCACAACACUUUCUAAAGACAACAGAUUUUUAAGAAACAUAGUUCAAAUCCUUAUCAGACUUGGGAAUAUGCAACACAAUUCAAAUGAGUUUACAAUUAGCGUCAACAAUAACAAAUACAUUUGUCCACUGCCUAAAGUCCGUACAACUGCAAAUAGCAUGCUCUUCCCCUGCAAAGAGGCACAAAGUCUGACCCAUAAAAAAAUAUAUUUUUAUAGUAGUGCUACACAAAGCAACAGUGAAACAUCUUACCUCUUCUCCACCACUUUUUCAUAGAACCUGGCUGAAGAUGAGAAGAAAAUGCAGGCGAGUCGGUCAGCUACUGCAGCAUUUCAGUCUGCCUUUAUUAGGCCACAUCACCACUAAAAAUACAGGUGUCAAAGAUUUCCAGAGUCUACUGCAAGGAGUUUUUGAGAUUUAAUCGUAUUUGUAAGCUCUAGUACAGCUCAUACACUAGUAUUUGCAUUGGCUUUUGUUUUACUGUACCUCCACCACAUUUCUAGUACAGAGCUUGCUUGCCUUUUUCCAGCUGUAAAAUUUUGACAGCACAUUACAGCUCAUCUCAGAAUUUGCUUUUCUUCAGUAUGGAUAUUUCAUAUGGGAAGAAAACCAAUCUGUUGUAAACACAAUAAAACUGGCAGGGGUAGACCUUAAAAUGAUGAGAUUUUAAAAAUACUUAAAAGGAAUCAAGCAACCAUGGAAGUUUACAUAUGCAUUAUUAGAAGGUUAGCCCAGCUCUCAAAGCAUUCAAAUACAUAUUCAUCAGCUUGCCAUAUGCUCACAUACACAUGCAAGACAACAACCACCGCCUGCCCAAAAGCUGUCUUUCAUUUCUGUUAAAUAGAAUUAGUGCUUUCUUAAUUUAAGAAUUGUCAAACCUGUGGUUGAGGUGAAGUUUUCAAACGUUCAGUUUGCCUUCAAAUGAAGGUUUGUCAAUUUUUGUGCUUAUAUGAAGGUAUUGGUCCUUAUCUCAUGCAGUUUCACUGCUCGAUGCAACAAAUACACACUUGCACACUAAACACCAGAACCCCUUUUCUACUGCUACUUUGCAUUUCAUUUGCCAUAACUGUGAUGCAAAGCUUUCGCUUCUGAAAACGGAAAGAAGUACCUUAAGCCACCAGUGGCAUGGAUUAAGUGACGAUCAGAUUUUGACUCAAGAUGGAAAAGUGUGCUUCAGACCAAUAGAUGCUUCUCAAGUAAGCUAGCUCCCAGGUGACUUCACAUCUGGGGACUUCCUUUCAAAUGUUACAGUUUCACCACAGCAAUGAGUGACUACAUUGGAAACACAACCUAAAGUAAGCUCUGUACUUCCCAACCUCCUCUCUCAGAUGUCAGCACUUCUUCUUAAGUUCCUCUCAGCAAACAUCCCUUUCUUCACUGGCCCCUUCUUCAGCGUGGGAAGCAGGGCUGGUAAACCAAGAGUUGGAAGCAAAGCCUGGUGAUUCUUACACAUUGCCCAGCAAAGCUUCAUUUUUAGGUUUUCUGGCACAGGCAGCUGACGCACCUUUUGACACAGCAGCAGAACCCCGGAAACAUAUUGCAGCUAUAAGUAAUUAAGUCCUUCAGGUUUCAACAUCAAAGAGAACACUUCUCCCACAAUACACCAAAGCACUCAAUGGGCUGUUUUAUUCCUGAAUGGAAGAGAGCUAAUCUCAAACUAAUUCCUUUACAUUUGGAACGGCCUUUAUAUAAAACCAAGUGUUUAAAGCCAACUAAAAAGUUUUUGCACUGGACGCUAGAAAAGAUCUGUAAGUUCUAUCAAUUUCAAUCAAAAAUAAAUUUAUUUCAAAAUCUUACACACAAUCUUCAUUGCACAAAUCAAAAAGUAUUCACGUUGAUGGCUGCAGAAUAAUACACUACUUAAAAUAAGAAAUCUCCAUGAGGAUGGGCUGGGGGGAACCGCAAGAAGUAAGCUACAUUGGAACUAGACACCGUGUACUUUAUGCAGCCACAUGAGAAAUGCUUCCUGCUGCUUUGUUAUUACACAGGUAGUUGGUUCUAUCAGCUAAAGCCUAGUGACUUGGGUUUGUUUUAUGCAUAUUGGGUUUUGUUCUAUUACUUUCCAAGAGAUUGUACUCCCCUGAGUCAGCUGUGUUCAUUGGUCAGAAUAAAUUCCAGCAUCUGACACCAUUUCCAUUAAUCACAGACAAGCCACUAUACGUGAGCAAGUUAAUAGAAAGAUAAAAAAAAAAACAGUAUCUGGUGAAUGGGAAACAUUAUUUAUGUAUGCUGUUCACUAGUACAGUAGAAGGUAUCCGAAAGGCAUUCUUUCAACUUUAAUAGACAAAGUGAAACAGGAGAAGAUGGGCAUCAUGUGAAGCAUUUAUUCCACAGGGAAGAAAGUGACCAGAACCACACAGAUCCUGUAGCAACUUGCCUAAGUAACACCUUUACAGCCUGUUAUUACAAUGGCUAUGCCACAGUCAUAGCUUCCCCAUGCUUUUUCAGGCAAUUUUAAGUAAUUUGCUACUGAACAGCUGCAGAAUUACUAUUUCUUUUUUUUCCAAUCACACUGAUCUUAAGUAGGACCCAUGAAGUUGAAUACUUAAUUCUCACACACAUCUGUAUAUAACACUCUUAGUACCACCUUCCCGCUCAUUACAGGUUAAAAGCAUCAUGGAUCUAAAAUACAAAGCAUCUUCCUUCAAAGUAUUGAGCAGUCAAAUCAUUUGCUAAACCUUGUCAUACUAAACUCAAAGAAGCAGAAGUUUCUAAAAAACAAGGCAUAAAUUGUAUUUGUCUAAAAACAGUUCUUGGCCUAAAGAUGAGACCCCCAACAAAGUACUCAGACACGCAGUCUACAAAGCAAUCACAAUCUGAGUAACUUCAGUUCUCAAUGGAGUACUAAAGAUACCAAAACAAUUAUUCCAUCAACACCUAAUCCAAUUAAAUUAAGGCUUUAUUUCCUUAAUAAAAGAAAAAUUAGUAGCUUUAACAACCACACAAAUAAAAAGUCAAGGUUCUGGUGGAGUGCAAAGGAGGCACGGUAAGGAUAAGUGCACCAUGAACGGGAUGAUUCUGUGGCAGGCACCGCUGUGUGCAGAACUCAGGCAGUUUCCCACAGUGAGAAUACACGGGGAACUGGGCUGUUAGGAGUCACUGCGUUCAGCAGCGUUACUUAUGAUCCUCUUUUAAUUCAUAAUGCCCCAAACUGUGUGUCCUAAACAGGACAGCCUACAAGCGAUUCUUCCUUUGCCACCAUCUCACAUAAAUAAAUUGUAACAAAAAAUCUCACCUUUUUGAUGAAAAUCACGUAAAAAAGGAUUUCUAAACCAUAGGAGUAAGAAAGUUAACUGAAAGGAGAGUAGGAGAGAUAAUCCAAUCUUCAUUGGAUUGAAUCCCAAACCUGUCAGAAACAAGCUCAGAGCUGUUACAAGUUUAACAAUACCACAUACCUUCCUGAAAACAUACAAACAGCAAACAAAUACAGAAUGAAAUUUUGUUUUAUUUCAAGAACUAUUUGCUGUGAUCUUUUGGAAACAUAUGCCAUCUGCAAUACAAGACUGUCUAAGCCCCAUGCUAGAUUCAUUCCCAUUAUACCAUCACAGCUUUAACUUCAAGGAACUUGCUCCUGAUUUACAGCAGAGGAAGACAGGGUUUUCUGUUCUAGAAAAAAAAAAACAAAAACACUUCAAUUUAAUUACCUGUUCAAAAGUUCAAGCAGUAAGGUGCCUAUUCAGAAUCAUUCUAAAAUGCCACAGUUCAUUCUAAAAAUUGCUUAGUUUUUGUGCAGACAGUUUUGAUUACACUGAUCCAGGUAAUCUGAUGGACAGUUUGACAAAACCUUAUUUGUUUCCCAAAACACAUUCUCAUUAGGUUUUGGAGGACUUGGGAAUACCCAGGAAUUAUCUUCCAGAGAGCUCUUUCCAUAAGAAUGGUGUUCCUGAAAUGUUUCACCAUCAACUGGAAUGGGUCCCUCAUCUGUCCAUGCUUGUAGAAUCACCCUUUCAGAUGGGAUUUUCACAUGUCCCGGCAGAGGGGGUGGUGCAGCAUUGCAGUGUACUUUAUCGCUUUGGGAGAGUUUUUUAUACACUACCCCAGACAUCAGAUUCUGCCUUGUAAUAUUCUUCAACUCAACACACUGUACUGGUGCAGAAGAGGCAGCUUUCUUGGUCGCUGUUAUGUUUGUUUUCAGUUUUCGUAGAACCUCAGUUUGCACUUCAGUCACUAGCUGCAAAUUAGACAUUUCUCUCUUCAGUUCCCAAUAUGCUUGCUGCACACUUUCAAAACAAAAAAAAUUCAACAUUAAAUACUUGCCAUCUCUGGAGCACCUCCAUAGCUUACUAACAUUUCUAAGG